RNAcentral lists this ribosomal RNA (885 nucleotides) under uncultured bacterium. RNAcentral's name for it is "bacterial SSU rRNA". It matches the Rfam family "Bacterial small subunit ribosomal RNA", at positions 8 to 916 of the family's 1533-position model. The record is from RNAcentral.
AGAGUUUGAUCCUGGCUCAGGAUGGACGCUAGCGGCGUGCCUUAUGCAUGCAAGUCGAACGGUCUUAAGCAAUUAAGAUAGUGGCGAACGGGUGAGUAACGCGUAAGUAACCUACCUCUAAGUGGGGGAUAGCUUCGGGAAACUGAAGGUAAUACCGCAUGUGGUGGGCCGACAUAUGUUGGUUCACUAAAGCCGUAAGGCGCUUGGUGAGGGGCUUGCGUCCGAUUAGCUAGUUGGUGGGGUAAUGGCCUACCAAGGCUUCGAUCGGUAGCUGGUCUGAGAGGAUGAUCAGCCACACUGGGACUGAGACACGGCCCAGACUCCUACGGGAGGCAGCAGCAAGGAAUCUUGGGCAAUGGGCGAAAGCCUGACCCAGCAACGCCGCGUGAGGGAUGAAGGCUUUCGGGUUGUAAACCUCUUUUCAUAGGGAAGAAUAAUGACGGUACCUGUGGAAUAAGCUUCGGCUAACUACGUGCCAGCAGCCGCGGUAAUACGUAGGAAGCAAGCGUUAUCCGGAUUUAUUGGGCGUAAAGUGAGCGUAGGUGGUCUUUCAAGUUGGAUGUGAAAUUUCCCGGCUUAACCGGGACGAGUCAUUCAAUACUGUUGGACUAGAGUACAGCAGGAGAAAACGGAAUUCCCGGUGUAGUGGUAAAAUGCGUAGAUAUCGGGAGGAACACCAGAGGCGAAGGCGGUUUUCUAGGUUGUCACUGACACUGAGGCUCGAAAGCGUGGGGAGCGAACAGAAUUAGAUACUCUGGUAGUCCACGCCUUAAACUAUGGACACUAGGUAUAGGGAGUAUCGACCCUCUCUGUGCCGAAGCUAACGCUUUAAGUGUCCCGCCUGGGGAGUACGGUCGCAAGGCUAAAACUCAAAGGAAUUGACGG